GAUGAACGCUGGCGGCGUGCUUAACACAUGCAAGUCGAACGGAACUACUCCAAUGAGAGUCUUCGGAAAGGAUUUGGUUUAGUUUAGUGGCGGACGGGUGAGUAACGCGUGGGUAACCUGCCCUAUACAGGGGGAUAACAGUUGGAAACGACUGUUAAUACCGCAUAAGCGCACAGGAGCGCAUGCUCCGGUGUGAAAAACUCCGGUGGUAUAGGAUGGACCCGCGUCUGAUUAGCUGGUUGGCGGGGUAACGGCCCACCAAGGCGACGAUCAGUAGCCGGACUGAGAGGGUGAACGGCCACAGUGGGACUGAGACACGGCCCAAACUCCUACGGGAGGCAGCAGUGGGGAAUAUUGCACAAUGGGGGAAACCCUGAUGCAGCGACGCCGCGUGAGCGAAGAAGUAUCUCGGUAUGUAAAGCUCUAUCAGCAGGGAAGAAAAUGACGGUACCUGACUAAGAAGCCCCGGCUAACUACGUG
Molecule: ribosomal RNA, 480 nt
Filed under: uncultured bacterium
Lineage: Bacteria
Description: partial 16S ribosomal RNA
Rfam family: Bacterial small subunit ribosomal RNA
Source: RNAcentral